RNAcentral lists this ribosomal RNA (814 nucleotides) under uncultured Bacteroidota bacterium. Its description in RNAcentral is "bacterial SSU rRNA". It matches the Rfam family "Bacterial small subunit ribosomal RNA", at positions 60 to 851 of the family's 1533-position model. The record is from RNAcentral. Lineage: Bacteria; Pseudomonadati; Bacteroidota.
AGUCGAACGCGAAAGGCCCCUUCGGGGGCCGAGUAGAGUGGCGUCCGGGUGAGUAACACGUAGGUAAUCUACCUCCGGGUGGGGAAUAACGACCGGAAACGGUCGCUAAUACCGCAUAAUGCAGCGGCACCACAUGGUGACAGUUGUUAAAGCGGGGGAUCGCAAGACCUCGCGCCUGAAGAGGAGCCUGCGGCGGAUUAGCUAGUUGGCAGGGUAACGGCCUACCAAGGCGACGAUCCGUAGCCGGCCUGAGAGGGCGGUCGGCCACACUGGCACUGACACACGGGCCAGACUCCUACGGGAGGCAGCAGUCGGGAAUUUUGGGCAAUGGGCGCAAGCCUGACCCAGCAACGCCGCGUGAAGGAUGAAGCUUUUCGGAGUGUAAACUUCAUAAGAAUGGGACGAAUAAAAGAGGGCUAACACCCCUUUUGAUGACGGUACCAUUUGUAAGCUCCGGCUAACUCCGUGCCAGCAGCCGCGGUAAUACGGGGGGAGCAAGCGUUGUUCGGAUUUACUGGGCGUAAAGGGCGCGUAGGCGGCGCAACAAGUCGCUUGUGAAAUCUCCGGGCUUAACUCGGAGCGGCCAAGCGAUACUGUCGUGCUAGAGUGCGGAAGGGGCUACUGGAAUUCUCGGUGUAGCGGUGAAAUGCGUAGAUAUCGAGAGGAACACCUGCGGCGAAGGCGGGUAGCUGGGCCGACACUGACGCUGAUGCGCGAAAGCCAGGGGAGCGAACGGGAUUAGAUACCCCGGUAGUCCUGGCCUUAAACGAUGGAUGCUUGGUGUCCGGGGUUACAUAGUCCCCGGGUGCCGGCG